RNAcentral lists this ribosomal RNA (1437 nucleotides) under uncultured bacterium. RNAcentral describes it as "16S ribosomal RNA". It matches the Rfam family "Bacterial small subunit ribosomal RNA". The record is from RNAcentral.
AGGGUUUGAUCAUGGCUCAGAACGUACGCUGGCGGCACGCCUAACACAUGCAAGUCGAACGAAGUAGCAAUACUUAGUGGCAGACGGGUGAGUAACAUGUAGGUAUCUGCCCUUUGGCCUGGAAUAACACGAGGAAACUUGUGCUAAUACCGGAUAAGUCUUUACGGAGAAAGCUUUAUGCACCAUUGGAUGAGCCUGCACUUGAUUAGUUUGUUGGUGGGGUAAUGGCCUACCAAGACUGUGAUCAAUAGCUGAUUUGAGAGGAUGAUCAGCCACAUUGGGACUGAGACACGGCCCAAACUCCUACGGGAGGCAGCAGUGGGGAAUCUUGCACAAUGGAGGAAACUCUGAUGCAGCGAUGCCGCGUGAGUGAAGAAGGCCCUUGGGUUGUAAAGCUCUUUCGUCGGGGAAGAAAAUGACUGUACCCGAAUAAGAAGGUCCGGCUAACUUCGUGCCAGCAGCCGCGGUAAUACGAAGGGACCUAGCGUAGUUCGGAAUUACUGGGCUUAAAGAGUUCGUAGGUGGUUGAAAAAGUUAGUGGUGAAAUCCCAGAGCUUAACUCUGGAACUGCCAUUAAAACUUUUUAGCUAGAGUAUGAUAGAGGAAAGCAGAAUUUCUAGUGUAGAGGUGAAAUUCGUAGAUAUUAGAAAGAAUACCAAUUGCGAAGGCGGCUUUCUGGAUCAUUACUGACGCUGAGAUACGAAAGUAUGGGUAGCGAAGAGGAUUAGAUACCCUCGUAGUCCAUACCAUAAACGAUGAUUAUUAGAUGUGGGGAAUUAUUUCUCUGUAUCAUAGCUAACGCGUUAAAUAAUCCGCCUGGGGAGUACGACCGCAAGGUUAAAACUCAAAUGAAUUGACGGGGACCCGCACAAGUAGUGGAGCAUGUGGUUUAAUUCGAAGAUACGCGCAGAACCUUACCAACACUUGACAUGUUCGUCGCGACUCUAAGAGAUUAGAGUUUUCGGUUCGGCCGGACGAAACACAGGUGCUGCAUGGCUGUCGUCAGCUCGUGUCGUGAGAUGUUGGGUUAAGUCCCGCAACGAGCGCAACCCUCACUUUUAGUUGCCAUCAUUAGGUUGGGCACUCUGAAAGAACUGCCAGUGAUAAGCUGGAGGAAGGUGGGGAUGACGUCAAGUCCUCAUGGCCCUUACGUGUUGGGCUACACACGUGCUACAAUGGUAUCUACAACAGGAAGCAAGACUGCGAAGUUAAGCAAAUCCCUAAAAGAUACCUCAGUUCGGAUUGCACUCUGCAACUCGAGUGCAUGAAGCUGGAAUUACUAGUAAUCGUGGAUCAGCGUGCCACGGUGAAUGCGUUCCCGGGUCUUGUACACACCGCCCGUCACACCAUGGGAGUUGGUUCUACCUUAAGGCAAGGUUUCAAACCCUUGACCACGGUAUAGUCAGCGACUGGGGUGAAGUCGUAACAAGGUAACCG